This is a long non-coding RNA of Oncorhynchus nerka (sockeye salmon), 328 nucleotides long. RefSeq lists it as uncharacterized. Lineage: Eukaryota; Metazoa; Chordata; Actinopteri; Salmoniformes; Salmonidae. The transcript has 2 exons. The record is from RefSeq and is a predicted model, not a curated record.
CCUACUGUACUGUCUUUGCCGUCACGGCACCAUGUUGUUUUGACAAAUGCCAUCGACGCCAGAGAUUAACGUAAUCGGCUGUCUCAUCGUUGACGGUGAUCAGGCCUACCACUGUUGUGUCGUCUGCAAACUUAAUGAUGGUGCCUGGCCAUGCAGUCGUGGGUGAACAGAGAGUACAGGAGGGGACUGAGCACGCACCCCUGGAGGGCUCCAGAUGUGUUGCUACCUACCCUCACCACCUGGGGGCGGCCCAUCAGGAAGUCCAUGAUCCAGUUGCAGAUGGAGGUGUUUAAAUGUAAGAUGGCUAAAUAAAGAGCAAAAUUGGUUA